AUGCUGGAGGUAUCAGAAGUGCGAAUGCUGACAUAAGUAACGAUAAAGCGGGUGAAAAGCCCGCUCGCCGGAAGACCAAGGGUUCCUGUCCAACGUUAAUCGGGGCAGGGUGAGUCGACCCCUAAGGCGAGGCCGAAAGGCGUAGUCGAUGGGAAACAGGUUAAUAUUCCUGUACUUGGUGUUACUGCGAAGGGGGGACGGAGAAGGCUAUGUUGGCCGGGCGACGGUUGUCCCGGUUUAAGCGUGUAGGCUGGUUUUCCAGGCAAAUCCGGAAAAUCAAGGCUGAGGCGUGAUGACGAGGCACUACGGUGCUGAAGCAACAAAUGCCCUGCUUCCAGGAAAAGCCUCUAAGCAUCAGGUAACAUCAAAUCGUACCCCAAACCGACACAGGUGGUCAGGUAGAGAAUACCAAGGCGCUUGAGAGAACUCGGGUGAAGGAACUAGGCAAAAUGGUGCCGUAACUUCGGGAGAAGGCACGCUGAUAUGUAGGUGAAGUCCCUUGCGGAUGGAGCUGAAAUCAGUCGAAGAUACCAGCUGGCUGCAACUGUUUAUUAAAAACACAGCACUGUGCAAACACGAAAGUGGACGUAUACGGUGUGACGCCUGCCCGGUGCCGGAAGGUUAAUUGAUGGGGUUAGCGGUAACGCGAAGCUCUUGAUCGAAGCCCCGGUAAACGGCGGCCGUAACUAUAACGGUCCUAAGGUAGCGAAAUUCCUUGUCGGGUAAGUUCCGACCUGCACGAAUGGCGUAAUGAUGGCCAGGCUGUCUCCACCCGAGACUCAGUGAAAUUGAACUCGCUGUGAAGAUGCAGUGUACCCGCGGCAAGACGGAAAGACCCCGUGAACCUUUACUAUAGCUUGACACUGAACAUUGAGCCUUGAUGUGUAGGAUAGGUGGGAGGCUUUGAAGUGUGGACGCCAGUCUGCAUGGAGCCGACCUUGAAAUACCACCCUUUAAUGUUUGAUGUUCUAACGUUGGCCCGUUAUCCGGGUUGCGGACAGUGUCUGGUGGGUAGUUUGACUGGGGCGGUCUCCUCCUAAAGAGUAACGGAGGAGCACGAAGGUUGGCUAAUCCUGGUCGGACAUCAGGAGGUUAGUGCAAUGGUAUAAGCCAGCUUGACUGCGAGCGUGACGGCGCGAGCAGGUGCGAAAGCAGGUCAUAGUGAUCCGGUGGUUCUGAAUGGAAGGGCCAUCGCUCAACGGAUAAAAGGUACUCCGGGGAUAACAGGCUGAUACCGCCCAAGAGUUCAUAUCGACGGCGGUGUUUGGCACCUCGAUGUCGGCUCAUCACAUCCUGGGGCUGAAGUAGGUCCCAAGGGUAUGGCUGUUCGCCAUUUAAAGUGGUACGCGAGCUGGGUUUAGAACGUCGUGAGACAGUUCGGUCCCUAUCUGCCGUGGGCGCUGGAGAACUGAGGGGGGCUGCUCCUAGUACGAGAGGACCGGAGUGGACGCAUCACUGGUGUUCGGGUUGUCAUGCCAAUGGCACUGCCCGGUAGCUAAAUGCGGAAGAGAUAAGUGCUGAAAGCAUCUAAGCACGAAACUUGCCCCGAGAUGAGUUCUCCCUGACUCCCUGAGAGUCCUGAAGGAACGUUGAAGACGACGACGUUGAUAGGCCGGGUGUGUAAGCGCAGCGAUGCGUUGAGCUAACCGGUACUAAUGAACCGUGAGGCUUAACCUUACAACGCCGAAGGUGUUU
This 1695-nucleotide ribosomal RNA is filed under the name Escherichia coli. RNAcentral's name for it is "bacterial LSU rRNA". It matches the Rfam family "Bacterial large subunit ribosomal RNA", at positions 1270 to 2925 of the family's 2925-position model. The record is from RNAcentral. Lineage: Bacteria; Pseudomonadati; Pseudomonadota; Gammaproteobacteria; Enterobacterales; Enterobacteriaceae.